RNAcentral lists this ribosomal RNA (549 nucleotides) under uncultured Glomus. RNAcentral's name for it is "SSU rRNA". It matches the Rfam family "Eukaryotic small subunit ribosomal RNA", at positions 548 to 1098 of the family's 1831-position model. The record is from RNAcentral. Lineage: Eukaryota; Fungi; Glomeromycota; Glomeromycetes; Glomerales; Glomeraceae.
UUGGAGGGCAAGUCUGGUGCCAGCAGCCGCGGUAAUUCCAGCUCCAAUAGCGUAUAUUAAAGUUGUUGCAGUUAAAAAGCUCGUAGUUGAACUUCGGGAUCAAUGGAUUGGUCAUGCCGUUGGUAUGUACUGGUCAUAUUGGUUCUCACCUUCUAAGGAACCAUAAUGUCAUUCAUUUGAUGUUUUGGGGAAUUAGGACUGUUACCUUGAAAAAAUUAGAGUGUUUAAAGCAGGCUAACGCUUGAAUACAUUAGCAUGGAAUAAUGAAAUAGGACAUCGCAUUCUAUUUUGUUGGUUUCUAGGAUCGAUGUAAUGAUUAAUAGGGAUAGUUGGGGGCAUUAGUAUUCAAUUGUCAGAGGUGAAAUUCUUGGAUUUAUUGAAGACUAACUACUGCGAAAGCAUUUGCCAAGGAUGUUUUCAUUAAUCAAGAACGAAAGUUAGGGGAUCGAAGACGAUCAGAUACCGUCGUAGUCUUAACCAUAAACUAUGCCGACUAGGGAUCGGAUGAUGUUAAUUUUUUAAUGACUCAUUCGGCGCCUUACGGGAAAC